AAGGACGUCUGCGCACUAAGAUACUCAGUUCCAAGUUUGGAGCUUUUAGCUGCCAGCCCUGGCCCAUCAUGUAGCUGCAGCACAGCCUUCCCUAACGUUGCAACUGGGGGAAAAAUCACUUUCCAGUCUGUUUUGCAAGGUGUGCAUUUCCACCUUGAUUCUCUGAAAGUCCAUCUGCUGCAUCGGUCAAGAGAAACUCCACUUGCAUGAAGAUUGCACGCCUGCAGCUUGCAUCUUUGUUGCAAAACUAGCUACAGAAGAGAAGCAAGGCAAAGUCUUUUGUGCUCCCCUCCCCCAUCAAAGGAAAGGGGAAAAUGUCUCAGUCGAAAGGCAAGAAGAGAAACCCUGGCCUUAAAAUUCCAAAAGAAGCAUUUGAACAACCUCAGACCAGUUCCACGUAAGUUGGCACAAUUAUCGUCUUAACUCAAGCAUGGGGACUUAGCC
RNAcentral lists this long non-coding RNA (444 nucleotides) under Ictidomys tridecemlineatus (thirteen-lined ground squirrel). Its description in RNAcentral is "lncRNA (ENSSTOG00000030995.1)". The record is from RNAcentral. Lineage: Eukaryota; Metazoa; Chordata; Mammalia; Rodentia; Sciuridae.